AGAGUUUGAUCAUGGCUCAGAACGAACGCUGGCGGCAGGCCUAACACAUGCAAGUCGAGCGCCCGCAAGGGAGCGGCAGACGGGUGAGUAACGCGUGGGAACGUGCCCUUUGGUUCGGAAUAUUCCCGGGAAACUGGGAGCAAAACCGGAUAAGCCCUUCGGGGGAAAGUUUACGCCAAAGGAUCGGCCCGCGUUAGAUUAGGUAGUUGGUGGGGUAACGGCCUACCAAGCCUACGAUCUAUAGCUGAUCUGAGAGGAUGAUCAGCCACACUGGGACUGAGACACGGCCCAGACUCCUACGGGAGGCAGCAGUGGGGAAUCUUGGACAAUGGGCGCAAGCCUGAUCCAGCCAUGCCGCGUGGAUGACUGAAGGCCCUAGGGUUGUAAAGUCCUUUCGACGGGGACGAUAAUGACGGUACCCGUAGAAGAAGCCCCGGCUAACUUCGUGCCAGCAGCCGCGGUAAUACGAAGGGGGCUAGCGUUGUUCGGAUUUACUGGGCGUAAAGGGCGCGUAGGCGGAUUUUUAAGUCGGGGGUGAAAUCCCGGAGCUCAACUCCGGAACUGCCUUCGAUACUGGAAGUCUGGAGCACGGUAGAGGUGAGUGGAAUUCCGAGUGUAGAGGUGAAAUUCGUAGAUAUUCGGAGGAACACCAGUGGCGAAGGCGGCUCACUGGACCGUUGCUGACGCUGAGGCGCGAAAGCGUGGGGAGCAAACAGGAUUAGAUACCCCGGUA
RNAcentral lists this ribosomal RNA (733 nucleotides) under uncultured bacterium. RNAcentral describes it as "bacterial SSU rRNA". It matches the Rfam family "Bacterial small subunit ribosomal RNA", at positions 8 to 792 of the family's 1533-position model. The record is from RNAcentral.